UUUAAUUAGUUAUUUAUAACUAAAUAAAAAUUAAUAUUUAAAAAAAAAUAAUUUUUUAAAUUGUUUAGUUUUUGUUAGUAUAACCUAACCCUAUCAACAAAAAAUAUCUAAUAGCAAUGGUAGCUCCGGUAGUUAUGGUUAACCAAUGUGGUGGGUGCGACCAGUGUGGCUGUAAGGGUGGCAGCUGUUCAUGCGAUUGUUGCAAAUAAAAUAUCUAACCAACCAAGCAAACAAACAAAAAUUAUUAAAAUGAUAAUGACAAUUUUUUAACCAUGGUUAAUUUCACCUAUAAAUUCAAAAUUUUAUAAUUAUAUAUAUUUUUCGAAAAAUUUUUGUUUUUCUUUAAAUCAAUUAUUUUAACAAAAAAAAUGUAUUUUUGAAUAAUAUACUAAAUAAUAAAUAACUUUUUUUUUGCAAA
Long non-coding RNA from Oppia nitens, 418 nucleotides. RefSeq lists it as uncharacterized. The record is from RefSeq and is a predicted model, not a curated record. The transcript has 2 exons. Lineage: Eukaryota; Metazoa; Arthropoda; Arachnida; Sarcoptiformes; Oppiidae.